GCCUGUUGGUGGCUUGUUGUUAAGCGUGCUGAAUUGGCUCGUGCCAAGCCAGCUAUUCUUCCGUUCUCCAAUAUUCAGUGUGCUUCCCCAUGUUGUUGUCCCUCUUCACAAGGGCAAUUUGUUGAAGAAUUCCAUUUGCUACUGUUCACCGCAAAUGACGAAACGAAACGAGAAGCGACGCAACGUAAUGCGCGAUGCGACGCCACCACCGGAGGCAACGACAGUCCUACAUCUGAGUGGAAGCCAAAAAAGCUCCAAAGCAAUCAACGAAUCACUGCGAAUGGACUGCCGAUCCACUGGACUCUUGGUUAAUUGUGAUGAUUAUGAAUUUUAAAAUGAUUUUGAAUAAUGACUUUGUAUGUUUUUUCCCAAACUAUGACUAUGCAACUACAGCCCCAGCACCAUAAAGUGUACGAAUUACAA
Molecule: long non-coding RNA, 423 nt
Organism: Stomoxys calcitrans (stable fly)
Lineage: Eukaryota; Metazoa; Arthropoda; Insecta; Diptera; Muscidae
Exons: 2
Source: RefSeq, a predicted model, not a curated record